RNAcentral lists this ribosomal RNA (160 nucleotides) under Atoxoplasma sp. MS-2003. RNAcentral describes it as "partial large subunit ribosomal RNA". It matches the Rfam family "Eukaryotic large subunit ribosomal RNA", at positions 1 to 156 of the family's 3401-position model. Lineage: Eukaryota; Apicomplexa; Conoidasida; Eucoccidiorida; Eimeriidae. The record is from RNAcentral.
AGACCUGAAAUCAGUCGAGAUUACCCGCUGAAUUUAAGCAUAUUAUUAAGCGGAGGAAAAGAAAAUAACUAUGAUUCCCCUAGUAACGGCGAGUGAAGCGGGAUCAGCUCAAAGUGAAAAUCGCGUGUCCAUGUUGGGCCCGCGAGUUGUAGCCUCGAAA